UACGGAGGAUGCAAGCGUUAUCCGGAAUUACUGGGCGUAAAGCGUCCGCAGGUGGCACUUCAAGUCUGCUGUCAAAGACCGGGGCUUAACCCUGGAAAGGCAGUGGAAACUGAAGCGCUAGAGUGUGGCAGGGGUAGAGGGAAUUCCCGGUGUAGCGGUGAAAUGCGUAGAGAUCGGGAAGAACAUCGGUGGCGAAAGCGCUCUACUGGGCCAUAACUGACACUCAGGGACGAAAGCUAGGGGAGCGAAUGGG
This 253-nucleotide ribosomal RNA is filed under the name uncultured bacterium. Its description in RNAcentral is "partial 16S ribosomal RNA". It matches the Rfam family "Bacterial small subunit ribosomal RNA", at positions 524 to 776 of the family's 1533-position model. The record is from RNAcentral.